AUGUUUCCCGAGAGAGACUGCCUUCUCUCAGGCCAGCAGUCUUAUGCUUAUAGUCGACUGCUCUAUGACAAUCUGACCUCUUUCCUGGGCUCUGCUUGCUUGUCUACGCUCCGACCAAUUCAGUCAAAAUCGAAAAAACUAGUAACGUUAGCCGGUUUCCAGUUCGUUACCUGA
This 174-nucleotide ribosomal RNA is filed under the name Triticum aestivum (bread wheat). RNAcentral describes it as "partial small subunit ribosomal RNA". The record is from RNAcentral. Lineage: Eukaryota; Viridiplantae; Streptophyta; Magnoliopsida; Poales; Poaceae.